GGAAGCAGCUUGCUGCUUUGCUGACGAGUGGCGGACGGGUGAGUAAUGUCUGGGAAACUGCCUGAUGGAGGGGGAUAACUACUGGAAACGGUAGCUAAUACCGCAUAACGUCGCAAGACCAAAGAGGGGGACCUUCGGGCCUCUUGCCAUCGGAUGUGCCCAGAUGGGAUUAGCUAGUAGGUGGGGUAACGGCUCACCUAGGCGACGAUCCCUAGCUGGUCUGAGAGGAUGACCAGCCACACUGGAACUGAGACACGGUCCAGACUCCUACGGGAGGCAGCAGUGGGGAAUAUUGCACAAUGGGCGCAAGCCUGAUGCAGCCAUGCCGCGUGUAUGAAGAAGGCCUUCGGGCUGUAAAGUACUUUCAGCGGGGAGGAAGGUGUUGAGGUUAAUAACCUCAGCAAUUGACGUUACCCGCAGAAGAAGCACCGGCUAACUCCGUGCCAGCAGCCGCGGUAAUACGGAGGGUGCAAGCGUUAAUCGGAAUUACUGGGCGUAAAGCGCACGCAGGCGGUCUGUCAAGUCGGAUGUGAAAUCCCCGGGCUCAACCUGGGAACUGCAUUCGAAACUGGCAGGCUAGAGUCUUGUAGAGGGGGGUAGAAUUCCAGGUGUAGCGGUGAAAUGCGUAGAGAUCUGGAGGAAUACCGGUGGCGAA
RNAcentral lists this ribosomal RNA (655 nucleotides) under uncultured Enterobacter sp. RNAcentral's name for it is "bacterial SSU rRNA". It matches the Rfam family "Bacterial small subunit ribosomal RNA", at positions 71 to 719 of the family's 1533-position model. The record is from RNAcentral. Lineage: Bacteria; Pseudomonadati; Pseudomonadota; Gammaproteobacteria; Enterobacterales; Enterobacteriaceae.